ACAGCAUUUACCACUGAUGUUCCGCUGCCUCAGAUCUUUGCUUUUACUCUCCUAUUACUUUAUUUGGAUCUCUGCUUAAUUACUGCCUUCUUAAAAAGUUCUUGGCUGAUAACACUACUUAAAAUACUUUCUUACCUACAAUUACCUCUAAAUCAUCACUCUGUUUUAUUUUUAGUAAAUUGCACUUCCAACUACCAGAAUUUAUGCUGCAUAUCUCUUUAUGUACAUGUUUAUUAUCUGUCUCUCUCACUAGAAUAUGUCCACCAACGGAUUGGGAUCUUACCUGUGUCUCUGAUCAUUUUGUUAGGAUUUUACCUGUGUCUCUGAUCAUUUUAUCUCCAGCAACAUUGUUUGUGAGAUUAAUGUUGGGUAAUAGAUGAGAAAAAUGGAUGGAUGGAUUAUAUGCAAGGAAACUGAGUUUAUGCCGCUAACCUAGUAUCACACUGAUGGAGUCUUGCUCUGUUUCGCCCAGACUGCAAGGCAGUGGCGCGAUCUCGGUUCACUGCAACCUCCACCUCCCAGGUUCAAGCGAUUCUCCUGCCUCAGCCUCCCGAGUAGCUGGGACUACAGGCGUGUGCCACUGUGCCUGGCUAAUUUUUUGUAUUUUUAGUAGAGACAGGGUUUCACCAUGUUAGCCAGGAUGGUCUCGAUCUCCUGAAUUCGUGAUCUGCCCUCCUUGGCCUCCCAAAG
This 690-nucleotide long non-coding RNA is filed under the name Homo sapiens (human). RNAcentral's name for it is "HSALNT0080457". Lineage: Eukaryota; Metazoa; Chordata; Mammalia; Primates; Hominidae. The record is from RNAcentral.